Molecule: ribosomal RNA, 459 nt
Filed under: uncultured bacterium
Lineage: Bacteria
Description: partial 16S ribosomal RNA
Rfam family: Bacterial small subunit ribosomal RNA
Source: RNAcentral
CCUACGGGAGGCAGCAGUGAGGAAUAUUGGGCAAUGGGAGAGAGCCUGAACCAGCCAAGCCGCGUGAGGGAAGACGGCCCUAUGGGUUGUAAACCUCUUUUGUCGGAGAACAAAACCCGGGACGUGUCCAGGACUGCGUGUAUCCGAAGAAAAAGCACAGGCGAACGCCGUGCCAGAAGCCGCGGUAAUACGGAGGAUGCGCGCGUUGUCCGGAUUUAUUGGGUUUAAAGGGUGCGUAGGCGGUCCGUUAAGUCAGCGGUAAAAUUGCGGGGCUCAACCCCGUCGAGCCGUUGAAACUGGCAGACUUGAGUUGGCGAGAAGUAUGCGGAAUGCGCGGUGUAGCGGUGAAAUGCAUAGAUAUCGCGCAGAACUCCGAUUGCGAAGGCAGCGUACCGGCGCCAGACUGACGCUGAGGCACGAAAGCGUGGGGAUCGAACAGGAUUAGAUACCCUAGUAGUC